This 24-nucleotide non-coding RNA is filed under the name Cricetulus griseus (Chinese hamster). Lineage: Eukaryota; Metazoa; Chordata; Mammalia; Rodentia; Cricetidae. The record is from RNAcentral.
CGGGACUUGGAGUUUCCCCUGCGA